Molecule: ribosomal RNA, 449 nt
Filed under: Onitis falcatus
Lineage: Eukaryota; Metazoa; Arthropoda; Insecta; Coleoptera; Scarabaeidae
Description: partial 16S ribosomal RNA
Source: RNAcentral
CAUGUCUUUUUGAUUAUAAUUUAAAGUCUGACCUGCCCUAUGAUUUAUUAUAAUUGAAUGGCCGCGAUAUUUUGAUCGUGCAAAGGUAGCAUAAUAAUUAGUUUUUUAAUUGAGAACUGGUAUGAAUGGUUGGACGAGAAAAAGACUGUCUCAAUUUAAUUUAAUUAGAAUUUUAUAUUUAAGUAAAAAAGCUUAAAUGUAUUUAAAAGACGAGAAGACCCUAUAGAGUUUUAUAUAAAAUAUGUUUUUAAUGUAAAAGUAUUUAAAAUUUAUUUAUAUAUUUUAUAUUUAGUUGGGGUGACUAAAAAAUUAAAAUAACUUUUUUUAUUUUUAAAAUCAUUGAUAUAUGUUUAAAUGAUCCGUAAUUUUACGAUUAAAAGAUUAAAUUACCUUAGGGAUAACAGCGUAAUUUUUUUUGAGAGUUCUUAUCGAAAAAAAAGUUUGCGACC